Corythoichthys intestinalis (scribbled pipefish) is the source of this 1108-nucleotide long non-coding RNA. RefSeq lists it as uncharacterized. The transcript is spliced from 8 exons. The record is from RefSeq and is a predicted model, not a curated record. Lineage: Eukaryota; Metazoa; Chordata; Actinopteri; Syngnathiformes; Syngnathidae.
AUGCUUACGACGCUGCGGAAGCCCCCCCGACAUUAUUUACGGUAAGUAGGUCACACUCGUAUCCUCAGAGUGAUGCUGUGGUUGCCAUGGAGACCCAAAGUCUCAGGCCUUCCAUCCGAAAAUGCUCCGUUUCGGUAAGAGGAGACGAGAACCAUACGGUGCAGCCUUCAGAUACGAGUUCCUCAAAAUACUCGAAUCUCAAAUGAUUUUACUGGCUAAAAUUGUACUCUAGAACAGAGCAUGUUGUUAGAAAUGACUGGAAUUAGUGAUGAGCUGCUGUCACCGUUAGCGCUGGUGAUGCUAACUUGAUGCGCACUCACAGGCCGGAUGUUGCGCGGGGACAAGCUACAGAUGCUACCGUCUCCUCCCUUCAUCAUCACCCCUCCAUCCUCACACAGUCACCCGGCCACUCGUUACAUCACAGUGUCAUGUCAAAGAAGCCAGAGAGGAAAUACUCACCAUAUUCCAGCGCAGCGUGUUUUGCAGCCUCAAGCCAUCCUUUUCUGUCUCAAUGUGUGUAUGAGGGAGGAGGGGGUGGAGGAUGCCGCCACCACCACCAUCAUCAUCAUCAAGGCAACACCAGCAGCGACACAAGCAGAAGGAGGCAGGAGGAGGACUGUCCAAUCAGCUUCCUUGUAACGUCUGCCAAUCAGGAAUGCCUUUAGAGAAGCCAGCGCUCGUCUGUUGUUUGACCUCCAGCCGCCAGGUGGCGCUAAUGUCAAGAGGUGACAUAUAAGCGCAACCGCGAAGGUGAAACGACCAUUUGGAUCCUGGGAACAGAGGAGGAAGAAGCAACUGCAAUGUGGAGACGAAUGUGAUCAUUCUAGAGUUAGCCAGGGAGAACAUCCUUCGGCAGCCAUUUUGUGAGUCAGUCAGGUGAAUUUCCAAUGGCGGCCAUUUUGUGAGUCAGGUGAACUACCUCAGGCGGGUGUGUUGGAAGCGUCCUAAGUCGGUCAGGGAGAACAUCCUUCGGCAGCCAUUUUGUGAAUCAGUCAGUGGACUUCCUCCCGCAGCUAUUUCGUAAGUCAGUCAGGUUUACAGCAAGUCAGCAUCUGAAAGCAUGAAAAUGAUGGUUAUUCUAAUUCAAUAAAGUACUUGAACUCUUCAA